GCGCCUGUAGCUCAGUGGAUUAGAGCAUCAGCUUGCGGUGCUGGGGGUCGCAGGUUCGAAUCCUGCCAGGCGCACCA
This 77-nucleotide transfer RNA is filed under the name bacterium. Its description in RNAcentral is "tRNA-Arg". It matches the Rfam family "tRNA". Rfam says of the family: Transfer RNA (tRNA) molecules are approximately 80 nucleotides in length. Their secondary structure includes four short double-helical elements and three loops (D, anti-codon, and T loops). The record is from RNAcentral.